This 1071-nucleotide ribosomal RNA is filed under the name uncultured bacterium. RNAcentral describes it as "bacterial SSU rRNA". It matches the Rfam family "Bacterial small subunit ribosomal RNA", at positions 434 to 1533 of the family's 1533-position model. The record is from RNAcentral.
UGGCUCCGGAGCAAUAAGGCGGAUGCGUCCGCGACGAGAGUACGGGGCGAAUAAGCAUCGGCUAACUCCGUGCCAGCAGCCGCGGUAAUACGGAGGAUGCAAGCGUUAUCCGGGAUUUAUUGGGUUUAAAGGGUGCGCAGGCGGCGCGAUAAGUCAGCGGUGAAAUGUACCGGCUCAACCGGUGAGCUGCCGUUGAUACUGUCGUGCUUGAGUGCGAGCGGCGCCGGCGGAAUGUGUGAUGUAGCGGUGAAAUGCAUAGAUAUCACACAGAACACCGAUCGCGAAGGCAGCUGGCGGGGACGUUACUGACGCUGAGGCACGAAAGCGUGGGGAUCAAACAGGAUUAGAUACCCUGGUAGUCCACGCAGUAAACGAUGAUGACUUGUUGUCGGCGACAGACAGUCGGUGACAAAGCGAAAGCGAUAAGUCAUCCACCUGGGGAGUACGAUCGCAAGGUUGAAACUCAAAGGAAUUGACGGGGGCCCGCACAAGCGGAGGAGCAUGUGGUUUAAUUCGAUGAUACGCGAGGAACCUUACCUGGACUCAAAUGUUGUCUGACCGGGGCAGAGAUGCCCUUUCCCUUCGGGGCAGACAGCAAGGUGCUGCAUGGUUGUCGUCAGCUCGUGCCGUGAGGUGUCAGGUUAAGUCCUAUAACGAGCGCAACCCCUACGUCCAGUUGCCAGCGGGUAGAGCCGGGGACUCUGGAGGGACUGCCGGCGCAAGCCGAGAGGAAGGUGGGGAUGACGUCAAAUCAGCACGGCCCUUACGUCCAGGGCGACACACGUGCUACAAUGGCCGGUACAGAGGGCAGCCACACCGCGAGGUGGAGCGAAUCUCGAAAGCCGGUCUCAGUUCGGAUCGGAGUCUGCAACCCGACUCCGUGAAGUUGGAUUCGCUAGUAAUCGCGCAUCAGCCAUGGCGCGGUGAAUACGUUCCCGGGCCUUGUACACACCGCCCGUCAAGCCAUGAAAGUCUGGGGUACCUGAAGUCCGUGCCCGCGAGGAGCGGCCUAGGGUAAAACAGGUGAUUGGGGCUAAGUCGUAACAAGGUAAAUCACUGCCGUCGUAUCUU